GAUGAAGAACGUAGCGAAAUGCGAUACUUGGUGUGAAUUGCAGAAUCCCGUGAACCAUCGAGUCUUUGAACGCAAGUUGCGCCUCAAGCCAUUAGGUUGAGGGCACGUCUGCCUGGGCGUCACAUAUCGUUGCCUGAUGCCAGUUUCCUCGUGAUGGGUGACUGUGCAGGGCGAAUGAUGGCUUCCCGUGAGCAUUGUUGCCUCAUGGUUGGUGGAAAAUUGAGUCCUUGGUAGGGAGCGCCGUGAUAGAUGGUGGUUGAGUGACGAACGAGACCCAAUCAUGUGAGACCCCUACCGAAUUUGGCCUUCAUGACCCACAUGCGUCUUUGGAACGCUCAUGACGAGACCUCAGGUCAGGCGGGGCUACCCGCUGAGUUUAAGCAUAUCAAUAAGCGGAGGA
RNAcentral lists this unclassified non-coding RNA (400 nucleotides) under soil metagenome. RNAcentral's name for it is "partial contains 5.8S ribosomal RNA, internal transcribed spacer 2, and large subunit ribosomal RNA". The stretch from base 1 to 122 matches the Rfam family "5.8S ribosomal RNA", at positions 35 to 154 of the family's 154-position model. The record is from RNAcentral.